ACGCCCCACAUAACACCCAAAAGCCAUUAUAACUAAUCAAACAACUUUAACUACAAAAGAUUAACACCAAAGCACAUCCUCACAUCCCUCCUGACCCAAAGCUAACACCCAACAAAACAUGCCCCAACUAUAUCACACCCACGACCCACCACCCUCACAAUACCACUUCCAUAGUAUAUCACCUUCCCCAGAAACAAAAAGCAAAACUCACAUAUAACAAUACAUUCCACCUACACAUGAUAUCUGCAUAAUCAUUCCCAUAGCCAUGACAGCUCUAAACCAGCCUUUCCCACAACAUAACAGCUCUAUCACACCCUGAUUUAGCUAAGAAAUCCGCUUCUGUAUUUGCCUCACGAAAAAUAUGAAUCACACCCACACAUCCUACAUCUUCCAUCAGCAGAUCAAUCAUAUGCAAAUCAUUCAACAACUUCCAAGGCCUGUUCUGUUUAUUUCUCACCCAACCGACCGCGAGCAUUGAAUCACUCUCAAUCACAACAGAGGGAAAUCACAAUUGAGAUUUAAGAGUGCAUAUUCUUCAAACUCAAAAACGAGAUUCUCACUUCUUGCUUUAGCCUCUUUAUUCCAGGUAGACGAAGAUAAGAGCUUAUUUGAAGGUUGAUUCCUUUUAUGAUAAAUUUAUAAUGAAGAUAUUAGAUUGAGGUUUGAUAAUGGUGCGUCAAACACAUGCUAUGGAAGACAAGAUAGAAUAAGACAUACUUCUUUUGUUUCUUUUUAUCUGUCCACUUUAGGUGGUGGCACAUAGAUUAAGAGUGUAAUUAAUUUUGUUGAAUGUUAGAAAAGUAAAUUUAAUGAAAGAGACCAAUGGCAAUUAUAAUUUUUGGAGUA
Molecule: long non-coding RNA, 846 nt
Organism: Lotus japonicus
Lineage: Eukaryota; Viridiplantae; Streptophyta; Magnoliopsida; Fabales; Fabaceae
Exons: 4
Source: RefSeq, a predicted model, not a curated record